CCUACGAGCGGCUGCAGUGGGGGAUAUUGCACAAUGGGGGAAACCCUGAUGCAGCGACGCCGCGUGAGUGAAGAAGUAUUUCGGUAUGUAAAGCUCUAUCAGCAGGGAAGAAAAUGACAGUACCUGACCAAGAAGCACCGGCUAACUACGUGCCAGCAGCGGCGGUAAUACGUAGGGGGCAAGCGUUAUCCGGAUUUACUGGGUGUAAAGGGGGCGUAGACGGUUAUGUAAGUCUGGAGUGAAAGCCCGGGGCCCAACCCCGGGACGGCUUUGGAAACUGUGUCACUGGAGUACAGGAGGGGCAGGCGGAAUUCCUGGUGUAGCGGUGAAAUGCGUAGAUAUCAGGAGGAACACCGGCGGCGAAGGCGGCCUGCUGGACUGAAACUGACGUUGAGGCUCGAAAGCGUGGGGAGCAAACAGGAUUAGAUACCCGGGUAGUC
RNAcentral lists this ribosomal RNA (440 nucleotides) under uncultured bacterium. RNAcentral's name for it is "partial 16S ribosomal RNA". It matches the Rfam family "Bacterial small subunit ribosomal RNA", at positions 338 to 795 of the family's 1533-position model. The record is from RNAcentral.